Hydra vulgaris (swiftwater hydra) is the source of this 599-nucleotide non-coding RNA. The record is from RefSeq and is a predicted model, not a curated record. Lineage: Eukaryota; Metazoa; Cnidaria; Hydrozoa; Anthoathecata; Hydridae.
AGCUGGGUCUUUAAGGCUUGACCUUGGUGAAUGCAGUAAAAAAUAUUUAAAUAAGAUCUUAUGUGUAAAACACUUCAAUGUGCCCUUUUUUAUAUUUUUUUCUUUUUUAGGCCAACUCUCACGUGUCGGCGGAAAGUUACCAAAAUAUGUUAAGGACUUAAUUCAGAGAUAAUGUUGCUAAACGAUUUGCAGUCGAUAAUCUUUCGAAAGCGGAAACACUCAGUGUCAAACAAAGAAUACGCGAAUUAUUCGAGAUAUGAUUGAAAUUUGCAAAGAAAGUAAAAAUCAAACUAGUUUCAUUCUAAGUUAUUGUAUACAAUUUUAAAAUUUUGGAAUAGAAGUGAUGCAAUGUUUAUUUAUUUUUAGUCUUUUAAUUUCCGUAUUCAAUUAUUUGCCCGGACUAGUAUAAUAAUCGUGUAUGACCUAAAUAAAUAAGAAGAAAUAUAGCUUGACAGCGCAAAGUUAUACAGUGUAAAAUUGUCCUUUAUUGUUUUUUGCAGUGUAGAAAUAAUAUCAAAAAUGAUAGAAAAACGUUGGAGGGCGUUUUUCUUACUACGUUUCGCAACAUUGUUAAUAUAACGUUAACCUAUGUUUCAUAU